RNAcentral lists this ribosomal RNA (253 nucleotides) under uncultured bacterium. RNAcentral's name for it is "partial 16S ribosomal RNA". It matches the Rfam family "Bacterial small subunit ribosomal RNA", at positions 524 to 776 of the family's 1533-position model. The record is from RNAcentral.
UACGUAGGGUGCGAGCGUUGCCCGGAAUUAUUGGGCGUAAAGCGCGCGCAGGCGGUCCCUUAAGUCUGAUGUGAAAGCCCACGGCUCAACCGUGGAGGGUCAUUGGAAACUGGGGGACUUGAGUACAGAAGAGGAAAGCGGAAUUCCACGUGUAGCGGUGAAAUGCGUAGAGAUGUGGAGGAACACCAGUGGCGAAGGCGGCUUUCUGGUCUGUAACUGACGCUGAGGCGCGAAAGCGUGGGGAGCAAACAGG